UGCAGAGGGUGCGAGCGUUAAUCGGAUUUACUGGGCGUAAAGCGUACGUAGGCGGCUUUUUUAAGUCGGAUGUGAAAUCCCUGAGCUUAACUUAGGAAUUGCAUUCGAUACUGGGAAGCUAGAGUAUGGGAGAGGAUGGUAGAAUUCCAGGUGUAGCGGUGAAAUGCGUAGAGAUCUGGAGGAAUACCGAUGGCGAAGGCAGCCAUCUGGCCUAAUACUGACGCUGAGGUACGAAAGCAUGGGGAGCAAACAGG
This 254-nucleotide ribosomal RNA is filed under the name uncultured Acinetobacter sp. RNAcentral's name for it is "partial 16S ribosomal RNA". It matches the Rfam family "Bacterial small subunit ribosomal RNA", at positions 524 to 776 of the family's 1533-position model. Lineage: Bacteria; Pseudomonadati; Pseudomonadota; Gammaproteobacteria; Moraxellales; Moraxellaceae. The record is from RNAcentral.